Molecule: long non-coding RNA, 353 nt
Organism: Prosopis cineraria
Lineage: Eukaryota; Viridiplantae; Streptophyta; Magnoliopsida; Fabales; Fabaceae
Exons: 2
Source: RefSeq, a predicted model, not a curated record
CAAAUAAUGGCUUCCAAGAGGCACUCUACUCUUGUUUUGGUGGUUCUCUUAUUUCUUUCUGUGUUUCUUGCUGCUGAAGCAUCAUUGCCCAGAAAACUUGGUGCUGCUUCGGAUCCCCAUAGGUCAUCUCAAAAGGGGAGGACAUUCGUUUCCCAAGGAAUUACUGGCAAGAGUUGUGAUUGUGCACGUGGCCACAAUUUUUGUUGCUAGUUGCAUCUCUUGGAUGGCUUUCUAAAGCUACAUCAUCUUUGUCUCUUUUGUUCCUUGUUGAUUUAUUAGCUAAUAGUAAUAAUUCUGUUGUAUCUGCUAAUUGUUCUCAAAUUAAAGGACUAAAAAAAGAAUUGGUUGAUGUU